This 222-nucleotide unclassified non-coding RNA is filed under the name Hevea brasiliensis (rubber tree). Lineage: Eukaryota; Viridiplantae; Streptophyta; Magnoliopsida; Malpighiales; Euphorbiaceae. The record is from RNAcentral.
UUUCAUGAAGUCCUUCGGCAUCCUAAAAGUUUUUUAAGCAAAUCAUAAGCAACUUGGAAAGUAAGGAAAUGACAACAUGAAAUAUAUGAAAUUGCAGUGGUUUAGUAUAGCCAAAUUCUAUUACUCAUAGUUUGAUAUCUGUUAGAAACAUUGAUUAAACUUUGUAGACCUAUUAUGCUUCCAUUUGAAGCUAAAGGUUUUGAACAGUUUUGCAUAUUUCUG